UGAUCCUGGCUCAGAAUGAACGCUGGCGGCGUGCUUAACACAUGCAAGUCGUACGAGAACUCUUCUGCUUGCAGAAGAUAGUAAAGUGGCGCACGGGUGAGUAACGCGUGGGUAAUCUACCUCUAACUCGGGGAUAACAUUGCGAAAGUGAUGCUAAUACCGGAUAAUAUCUAAUUUGCUUCGGCAGCUUAGAUCAAGGGUGGCCUCUAUAUAUAAGCUACUGAUUGGAGAUGAGCCCGCGUACCAUUAGCUUGUUGGUAGGGUAAUGGCCUACCAAGGCUACGAUGGUUAGCUGGUCUGAGAGGAUGAUCAGCCACACUGGAACUGACACACGGUCCAGACUCCUACGGGAGGCAGCAGUGAGGAAUUUUGCGCAAUGGGGGAAACCCUGACGCAGCAACGCCGCGUGAGUGAUGAAGGCUUUAGGGUCGUAAAGCUCUGUCAAGUGGGAAGAACAAGCCUGAUGCUAAUAUCAUCAGGAGCUGACGGUACCACUGAAGGAAGCACCGGCUAACUCCGUGCCAGCAGCCGCGGUAAUACGGGGGGUGCAAGCGUUAUUCGGAAUCAUUGGGCGUAAAGAGCGCGUAGGCGGCCCUUUAAGUCAGAUGUGAAAGCCCGGGGCUUAACCCCGGAAGUGCAUUUGAAACUAUUGGGCUUGAGUAUGGGAGAGGGAAGUGGAAUUCCUGGUGUAGAGGUUGAAAUUCGUAGAUAUCAGGAGGAACACCGGUGGCGAAGGCGGUUUCCUGGAACCAAUACUGACGCUGAGGCGCGAAGGCGUGGGGAGCAAACAGGAUUAGAUACCCUGGUAGUCCACGCAGUAAACGUUGAACACUAGGUGUAGCGGGUAUUGACCCCUGCUGUGCCGCAGUUAACGCAUUAAGUGUUCCGCCUGGGGAGUACGACCGCAAGGUUAAAACUCAAAGGAAUUGACGGG
This 934-nucleotide ribosomal RNA is filed under the name uncultured bacterium. Its description in RNAcentral is "bacterial SSU rRNA". It matches the Rfam family "Bacterial small subunit ribosomal RNA", at positions 14 to 917 of the family's 1533-position model. The record is from RNAcentral.